GGAGGAAAGCAGGGGAUCGCAAGACCUUGCGCUUUUGGAGUGGCCGAUGCCUGAUUAGCUAGUUGGUGGGGUAAUGGCCUACCAAGGCGACGAUCAGUAGUUGGUCUGAGAGGACGACCAGCCACACUGGGACUGAGACACGGCCCAGACUCCUACGGGAGGCAGCAGUGGGGAAUUUUGGACAAUGGGCGAAAGCCUGAUCCAGCAAUGCCGCGUGAGUGAAGAAGGCCUUCGGGUUGUAAAGCUCUUUCAGUCGAGAAGAAAAGGUUGUGACUAAUAAUCACAACUCAUGACGGUAUCGACAGAAGAAGCACCGGCUAACUACGUGCCAGCAGCCGCGGUGAUACGUAGGGUGCGAGCGUUAAUCGGAAUUACUGGGCGUAAAGGGUGCGCAGGCGGCUUUGUAAGUCAGAUGUGAAAUCCCCGGGCUUAACCUGGGAAU
RNAcentral lists this ribosomal RNA (442 nucleotides) under uncultured ammonia-oxidizing beta proteobacterium. RNAcentral describes it as "bacterial SSU rRNA". It matches the Rfam family "Bacterial small subunit ribosomal RNA", at positions 198 to 621 of the family's 1533-position model. Lineage: Bacteria; Pseudomonadati; Pseudomonadota; Betaproteobacteria. The record is from RNAcentral.